RNAcentral lists this ribosomal RNA (440 nucleotides) under uncultured bacterium. RNAcentral's name for it is "partial 16S ribosomal RNA". It matches the Rfam family "Bacterial small subunit ribosomal RNA", at positions 338 to 795 of the family's 1533-position model. The record is from RNAcentral.
CCUACGGGUGGCAGCAGUGGGGAAUAUUGCACAAUGGGGGAAACCCUGAUGCAGCGACGCCGCGUGAAGGAAGAAGGAUUUCGGUUUGUAAACUUCUAUCAGCAGGGAAGAAAAUGACGGUAUCUGACUAAGAAGCCCCGGCUAACUACGUGCCAGCAGCCGCGGUAAUACGUAGGGGGCAAGCGUUAUCCGGAUUUACUGGGUGUAAAGAGAGCGUAGGCGGUGAUGCAAGUCAGAAGUGAAAGCCCACAGCUCAACUGCGGGACUGCUUUUGAAACUGUAUGACUAGAUUGCAGGAGAGGUAGGUGGAAUUCUUAGUGUAGCGGUGAAAUGCGUAGAUAUUAGGAGGAACACCAGUGGCGAAGGCGGCUUACUGGACUGUAAAUGACGCUGAGGCUCGAAAGCGUGGGGAGCAAACAGGAUUAGAUACCCCUGUAGUC